Coregonus clupeaformis (lake whitefish) is the source of this 568-nucleotide long non-coding RNA. RefSeq lists it as uncharacterized. NCBI's taxonomy places the organism in Eukaryota, Metazoa, Chordata, Actinopteri, Salmoniformes, Salmonidae. The record is from RefSeq and is a predicted model, not a curated record. The transcript has 3 exons.
CUCGCAUUGGGUAAGAGCCGUAGAUAGAAGAGAAAGUUCAGUGUUCUCAAACGAUGGAUGGAGAGUGGUUGUCCGAGUGAGAAUCGCGCGCCAAAUGUUCCACUGCGUAGGCUGCAUAUACUGUAGGCUACAUCCUGGAAGCAACAUCGACACACUAUUCCUCAAAGAGAAUCGGAGAUGAAUAGAGUGACAAUCUGUGCUCUGUUUGAUCCCCAUGCAAAUACAUGGCACUUUGAUCCAGGAGGACGAAUUUGAAGUAGGCCAACAAGAUCUCAGCACUAGUCCAACGCUUUAGAUCUAAAUUGGGAGGAAAUUAAUUGAAGAUUUGUAUUUGACCAAAAUGUUUCACAAAUGUCAUACUAUAUCCUCCAUAUUGGUCAUUGGUUGCAUGGUUUUGUCUCAGUUUGAAUUUGGGACAUUAAAGCCAUAUGUAUGCAGCAACUGUUCAGUAGGCUGCAAUUAGGGUGUCAAUGUCAAUUAUAAACACACACGAAUAUAAGAGACCAUUUGUUUCACAGCAGGCUUGCUGGGAUGUAUGGUGUUUGACAGUAAAUGUAAUUGUUUAUUA